RNAcentral lists this ribosomal RNA (681 nucleotides) under uncultured Acidobacteriota bacterium. RNAcentral's name for it is "bacterial SSU rRNA". It matches the Rfam family "Bacterial small subunit ribosomal RNA", at positions 8 to 671 of the family's 1533-position model. Lineage: Bacteria; Pseudomonadati; Acidobacteriota. The record is from RNAcentral.
AGAGUUUGAUCCUGGCUCAGAUCACGCUGGCGGCGUACAGAGGCGGUCGAACGCGAAAGGCCCCUUCGGGGGCCGAGUAAAAGAAAGGAGUCCGGGUGAGUAACACGUGAGUAAUUUGCCUUCGGGUGGGGAAUAACAACCGGAAACGGUUGCUAAUACCGCAUAAUGCAGCGGCACCACAUGGUGACAGUUGUUAAAGCGGGGGAUUCGCAAGAACCUCGUGCCUGAAGAGAAGCUCGCGGCGGAUUAGCUAGUUGGUCGGGUAACGGCCUACCAAGGCGACGAUCCGUAGCCGGCCUGAGAGGGCGGUCGGCCACACUGACACUGACACACGGGUCAGACUCCUACGGGAGGCAGCAGUCGGGAAUUUUGGGCAAUGGGCGAAAGCCUGACCCAGCAACGCCGCGUGAAGGAUGAAGUUUUUCGCAAUGUAAACUUCACAAGAAUGGGAAGAAUAAGUGGGGGAUAAUACCCCCCAUGAUGACGGUACCAUUUGUAAGCUCCGGCUAACUCCGUGCCAGCAGCCGCGGUAAUACGGGGGGAGCAAGCGUUGUUCGGAUUUACUGGGCGUAAAGGGCGCGUAGGCGGCGCAACAAGUCACUUGUGAAAUCUCCGGGCUUAACUCGGAGCGGCCAAGUGAUACUGUCGUGCUAGAGUGCGGAAGGGGCAACUGGAAUUCUC